Oreochromis niloticus (Nile tilapia) is the source of this 324-nucleotide long non-coding RNA. RefSeq lists it as uncharacterized. The record is from RefSeq and is a predicted model, not a curated record. NCBI's taxonomy places the organism in Eukaryota, Metazoa, Chordata, Actinopteri, Cichliformes, Cichlidae. The transcript is spliced from 2 exons.
AAUAAUACCCCAGUGGAUGUUGUCUCCCCAUCAAAUGGACAAAUCAGUGUCUCACAGGAAGGACUCUACAGGUGCAGAGGAGGAAGAGGAAACCCAGUUUACUACACAGAGGACAGCCAGUCAGUCAGGAUUGACAAAACUGUAACAGCCUCAAACAGGCCUGUUGUGACUCUGUAUCCAAACUGGUCUGAGAUAUACAGAGGAGAGACGAUCACUGUCAGAUGUGAGAUCCAUGGAGGAGACACUGAGUGGGAUUAUGAGUGGGAAACAAACAGCAGGAUAAAAGCUCCAAAUCAAAAUGAAUACAGGAUUAGAUCUGCUUCA